CCUACGGGAGGCAGCAGUGAGGAAUAUUGGACAAUGGGCGCAAGCCUGAUCCAGCCAUGCCGCGUGCAGGAUGACGGUCCUAUGGAUUGUAAACUGCUUUUGUACAGGAAGAAACACUGGUUCGUGAACCAGCUUGACGGUACUGUAAGAAUAAGGAUCGGCUAACUCCGUGCCAGCAGCCGCGGUAAUACGGAGGAUCCAAGCGUUAUCCGGAAUCAUUGGGUUUAAAGGGUCCGUAGGCGGUUUAAUAAGUCAGUGGUGAAAGCCCAUCGCUCAACGGUGGAACGGCCAUUGAUACUGUUAGACUUGAAUUAUUAGGAAGUAACUAGAAUAUGUAGUGUAGCGGUGAAAUGCUUAGAGAUUACAUGGAAUACCAAUUGCGAAGGCAGGUUACUACUAAUUGAUUGACGCUGAUGGACGAAAGCGUGGGUAGCGAACAGGAUUAGAUACCCUGGUAGUCCACGCCGUAAACGAUGGAUACUAGCUGUUGGAAGCAAUUUCAGUGGCUAAGCGAAAGUGAUAAGUAUCCACCUGGGGAGCNCGUUCGCAAGAAGAGAAGUAAGUAAGUAGAGCGNGAGAGAGACGACGACGACGACGAGGGAGGAGG
RNAcentral lists this ribosomal RNA (607 nucleotides) under uncultured bacterium. RNAcentral's name for it is "bacterial SSU rRNA". The stretch from base 1 to 532 matches the Rfam family "Bacterial small subunit ribosomal RNA", at positions 338 to 873 of the family's 1533-position model. The record is from RNAcentral.